CGCGGUAUCCCUGACCGCGCUAAGGUAGCACAAUAAUGAGCCCCCUAAUUAGGGGAUAGAAUGAAUGAAUCAACGAGAAAUAAACUGUCUCUUUUAUAAUUAUUUAAAUUGAUUUUUGGGUGAAAAAUCCCAACUCCCAAACAAAGACAGAAAGACCCUAUAAGCUUUCAUUCAACUAUAUUACAAAUCACAAAAAUAUUUAAUUGGGGCGAUUUUAAGUAAUAAACACUUAUAUAAUAUAGGGAAAUCACCCUCCAAACUUAUCCAUUAGCAUAUAAGUAAGUUACUGUAGGGAUAACAGGCCAAUACUUCUUUAGAGAACAAAUCAACAGAAGUGUUUAGCACCUCGAUGUUGGCUUAGGGCUCCUUAUUCACGCAGAAGUGAAAUAAGGAGGUUUGUUCAACCCUUA
RNAcentral lists this ribosomal RNA (410 nucleotides) under Syllis crassicirrata. RNAcentral's name for it is "partial 16S ribosomal RNA". It matches the Rfam family "Bacterial large subunit ribosomal RNA", at positions 1932 to 2590 of the family's 2925-position model. Lineage: Eukaryota; Metazoa; Annelida; Polychaeta; Phyllodocida; Syllidae. The record is from RNAcentral.